AAUUUGACAUAUCCUUCUUUCUUUGGGUUUAAAGAUUGUGGUUGCUUUAUCAGUGAAAGAGGCGUAAGACGGAAAUAGGAAAAAAUAGAACAUCUCUGUUGAAUUCAAUUAUUGUCACGGAACCAGAAAAAGAAAAACAAAGAGCAAAAUUGGAGUUGAAGAUGAUCAGUGUAGUGUUGUGAACUGGAGUUAAGAAUGAAAGACUAUUGAGACAAAUUCAUCCAAGGAAUUACUGACGUUGUGUCGUUGGGUUGGGCUCUAUGCUCACCAAGCUUGAUUCUGAUUUGCAACGGAAGAUUAGGUGCCCAGGCUUGAAGUAUGGUAAUGAGUAACGGUACUUGAUCGCAUGUGCAAGAGUGAAGUGGUCACUAUAUUUUUUUAGCUUUCUUACUUUCAUAUCUACGGGUCAAGUGGAAAUUAUAGGCUUUCAUUGCUCAUUCAGGUUAGGACUAAAAACUAAAAUAUUUGGAUUCUCACCUCAUUUUCUACCUGUUCUCUGUUUUGUGUCUACCUAAUCAAACAUGCCUUAAAUAACUUGGGUUACAUAUAAAAGGUUUUGUCAAUAGGUUUAAAGUGAGACACAUAAGAUUUUGCCUCUAGGAGUGAAACUAUUUACUAGGUUUUCACUUUGCAUAUGUGUCAGUAUAAUACUAUUGUUCACUAUCUUGCUUUUCCAUGUGUUGUAUUUGACUAGACAAAAACAUAAAUACAUAUUCAAUUUCAUGAA
Non-coding RNA from Cicer arietinum (chickpea), 727 nucleotides. Lineage: Eukaryota; Viridiplantae; Streptophyta; Magnoliopsida; Fabales; Fabaceae. The record is from RefSeq and is a predicted model, not a curated record.